CACCACACACAGGGAAAGGACAUUGUGAGUAAUGGUUCAUCAGUUGUAUCAGCCUUUCAAUGCAACUCAAGUUAUGGACUUCGCUCACCUUCUUGCGAAAACCUGGUAUUAUCACUAAUUGACAGUGAUUCGGUGCCGCACAAUGGAAUAUCUCUAAAUUACCAUCUCAGUGAAUUAACGCAAUUUGUAGUUUGCACCCUGGGACGAUGGUACCUCUCAGGCAAAUUUCUGAAUGGACUCUACUUCUUCUGAUGACGAUUUAUGAAUCUGUCGGUUCGCCAGAACUGAUCUGUCCGGAUGUCGGAUAUCUUGGUUCUCCUGCUCAUCUGACGUGCAUCUCACCAAGAAAUAUAACUUCACAUGGCUAUGUGGCAUCGCAAGGUGAAGUUGCCGCUAUCUGCAGUGUAUCAAGCUCAUCAUGUACAACAAUAGGCAACUACAUGGCGUCUACCAUCAACCAGACACACAGUCGCCUCACCAUACCUGCAGUACAGCAAACACAUGCAGGGCAGUGGAAGUGUACUAUCCUACCUUCGUCUCCACUCUCCUG
Molecule: long non-coding RNA, 550 nt
Organism: Haliotis rufescens (red abalone)
Lineage: Eukaryota; Metazoa; Mollusca; Gastropoda; Lepetellida; Haliotidae
Exons: 3
Source: RefSeq, a predicted model, not a curated record